This 74-nucleotide transfer RNA is filed under the name Kiritimatiellia bacterium. RNAcentral's name for it is "Kiritimatiellae bacterium (gut metagenome) tRNA-Gln". It matches the Rfam family "tRNA". From Rfam's summary of the family: Transfer RNA (tRNA) molecules are approximately 80 nucleotides in length. The record is from RNAcentral. RNAcentral also lists the same sequence under 1 other name. Lineage: Bacteria; Pseudomonadati; Kiritimatiellota; Kiritimatiellia.
UGCCUCAUGGUGUAAUGGUAGCACCGCAGAUUCUGAAUCUGCUUGUUAAGGUUCGAGUCCUUAUGAGGCAACCA